CGGGGUGAGUAAUGCUCGGGAAUCUAGCUUAUGGAGGGGGAUAACUACGGGAAACUGUAGCUAAUACCGCGUAGUAUCGGAAGAUGAAAGUGUGGGACCUUCGGGCCACAUGCCAUAGGAUGAGCCCAAGUGGGAUUAGGUAGUUGGUGAGGUAAAGGCUCACCAAGCCGACGAUCUCUAGCUGGUCUGAGAGGAUGACCAGCCACACUGGGACUGAGACACGGCCCAG
This 229-nucleotide ribosomal RNA is filed under the name uncultured bacterium. RNAcentral's name for it is "partial 16S ribosomal RNA". It matches the Rfam family "Bacterial small subunit ribosomal RNA", at positions 104 to 334 of the family's 1533-position model. The record is from RNAcentral.